AUUGAGCUCCUAUGCUUUUAAAAGUACCAAGACAUUGGUGCUUGCAAGUUUUUAGCCUUUAGAUUAAAAAAUAUGUGGUUAGGAUGAUGUGGGCCCACUAGGGUUGAGUGGGUGGUUGGUUGAAUAGUAUAAUCUAACGGGUGUAAAUGAUCAACAGUGUUGAUCUAACGGUUAAAAACCUACAAGCACAAAGUGAUUGGUGCUUUUACAAGUACCGGGACCUCCGUGCUUAUAACUUGUUUUCGAUGAUAGGACAUUCGAUUCGACAAUCAGCUCCGUUAGGUAUAAUCUACCCUAUUGGAACUAUCUAGAAACCAAAUUUUAUAAUUUUUUGACAUCAUUUACUAAGCGAUCAAAAGGUCCAAAAAAUGAUUAUUUUAAUGGCGAUGCAGCAUAUUUUUAAGUUCAACGGUGUAGAAGUAUCCAAAUUACAUAAAAAUUUAAUAGAAAAUUCUACUUAACGUCAAUAGCAAGAUCAAUACUUCCGAUUUGAAAUUUGAGUCAUUUAUCAUUAUUUUUUAUGAGAUUUUUAUUUUCAGCCGUUCAUUUUGAGGCUACUCGUUCACUAGGCAAACAAAGUCAAAAAAUUAUGAAAUUUGAUUUCUAGAUAGUUCCAAUAGCGUAGAUCAUGUCUAACGGAACCGAUCGCCGAAUUGGACGUCCCAUCAUCGAAAACAACUUACAAGUACGGAGGCCCCCGUACUUUCGAAAGCAUAGGAGCCUAACUCUAUAU
Molecule: long non-coding RNA, 733 nt
Filed under: Ananas comosus (pineapple)
Lineage: Eukaryota; Viridiplantae; Streptophyta; Magnoliopsida; Poales; Bromeliaceae
Description: long non-coding RNA (ACOM_LNC024443)
Source: RNAcentral